CAAACGGGUGCGGAACACGUACGCAACCUUCCUUUAAGUGGUGAAUAGCUUUCGGAAACGAAAAUUAAUACACCGUAACAUUAUGAAGUGGCAUCAUUUUAUAAUUAUAGCUCCGGCGCUUAAAGAUGGGCGUGCGUCUGAUUAGGUAGUUGGCGGGGUAACGGCCCACCAAGCCUGCGAUCAGUAACUGGUGUGAGAGCACGACCAGUCACACGGGCACUGAGACACGGGCCCG
Molecule: ribosomal RNA, 235 nt
Filed under: uncultured bacterium
Lineage: Bacteria
Description: partial 16S ribosomal RNA
Rfam family: Bacterial small subunit ribosomal RNA
Source: RNAcentral